This 548-nucleotide ribosomal RNA is filed under the name uncultured bacterium. Its description in RNAcentral is "bacterial SSU rRNA". It matches the Rfam family "Bacterial small subunit ribosomal RNA", at positions 355 to 896 of the family's 1533-position model. The record is from RNAcentral.
UGGGGAAUAUUGCGCAAUGGGGGGAACCCUGACGCAGCCAUGCCGCGUGAAUGAAGAAGGCCUUCGGGUUGUAAAGUUCUUUCGGUAUUGAGGAGGGUUGAUGUGUUAAUAGCACAUCAAAUUGACGUUAAAUACAGAAGAAGCACCGGCUAACUCCGUGCCAGCAGCCGCGGUAAUACGGAGGGUGCGAGCGUUAAUCGGAAUAACUGGGCGUAAAAGGGCACGCAGGCGGUUAUUUAAGUGAGGUGUGAAAGCCCCGGGCUUAACCUGGGAAUUGCAUUUCAGACUGGGUAACUAGAGUACUUUAGGGAGGGGUAGAAUUCCACGUGUAGCGGUGAAAUGCGUAGAGAUGUGGAGGAAUACCGAAGGCGAAGGCAGCCCCUUGGGAAUGUACUGACGCUCAUGUGCGAAAGCGUGGGGAGCAAACAGGACUAGAUACCCUGGUAGUCCACGCUGUAAACGCUGUCGAUUUGGGGGUUGGGGUUUAACUCUGGCGCCCGUAGCUAACGUGAUAAAUCGACCGCCUGGGGAGUACGGCCGCAAGGUUA